RNAcentral lists this small RNA (32 nucleotides) under Bombyx mori (domestic silkworm). Its description in RNAcentral is "ovarian small RNA-2909". The record is from RNAcentral. Lineage: Eukaryota; Metazoa; Arthropoda; Insecta; Lepidoptera; Bombycidae.
UAAUGAUUCGCCUGGGGUUCUCGUUGCCCCAU